RNAcentral lists this ribosomal RNA (466 nucleotides) under uncultured bacterium. RNAcentral's name for it is "bacterial SSU rRNA". It matches the Rfam family "Bacterial small subunit ribosomal RNA", at positions 330 to 792 of the family's 1533-position model. The record is from RNAcentral.
GCCAGACUCCUACGGGAGGCAGCAGUGAGGAAUAUUGGUCAAUGGGCGCGAGCCUGAACCAGCCAAGUCGCGUGAGGGAUGACGGCCCUACGGGUUGUAAACCUCUUUUGCCGGGGAGCAACGGGCGUCACGUGUGGCGCCACUGAGAGUACCCGGAGAAAAAGCAUCGGCUAACUCCGUGCCAGCAGCCGCGGUAAUACGGAGGAUGCGAGCGUUAUCCGGAUUCACUGGGUGUAAAGGGAGCGUAGACGGCGGCGCAAGUCUGGAGUGAAAGCCCGGGGCCCAACCCCGGGACUGCUCUGGAAACUGCGUCGCUGGAGUACGGGAGGGGCAGGCGGAAUUCCUGGUGUAGCGGUGAAAUGCGUAGAUAUCAGGAGGAACACCGGUGGCGAAGGCGGCCUGCUGGACUGCAACUGACGUUGAGGCCCGAAAGCGUGGGGAGCAAACAGGAUUAGAUACCCCAGUA